UUUGCCGUAUAGUAUGCGUAUGCCGCCGCCUUCGGUCGUCGGUUUUGAAAGAUAUAGAAAUAUCUCCACACACUCCGCCCUCUCCCCCCGCCGUAUAGUAGAGCGCAAUCUGUUUAAUCGGUUUUAACGGCAGAGCAAAAAAUCAAAAUAUCGAUUUUGUUGGCUGCUCUUGCUGUGUGCCUGUGUUUGUGUCUCUCCCCUGCCUUCGUGCGCUCGUGUGUCGGGCAGUAAAAAUGUGUUAAGAAUUAUGUUCAUAUAGACAUAAGUUACCUAAUCUAGUGCAGAUGAAAGAAAGAAGGGAAUCUAAGCAAAAUCAAUGCUCCCAAAACCAACAAUAGUUAAAUAACUGCUAAUAAGAAGAGAGUACUCUACGCAACGUAACGUAACGCCACUAUCUACUCUCCCGUGACGUCGUAUGCCAAUUAGGGGGAAAAACGAGACAGUGCAUGUGAUGCCAAAAAACACAUAAAAUAUAACCAAGCAGUAACACAAGAGACACAGAGAGACAGAGCGCCAAAGCCAGUGUCCGCAGAGCGAGAGAGUGCAGCAAGUGGAAUAUGUGAAAAAUUCAAUAAAAAAAAUUGAUGUGCCAUUCAGGAGCAGAAGCAGCCGCAGCAGCAGCAACCUAGAAGCUAAGCGAGACGCGAGAGUAUUAUCCACAAAAGUCAGAAGGCGCAACAGAGCAACAAUCCCUCCAGCAACAACAAGAACCUGAAAACAACAGCAGACGGCCGGACAGCAGCGGAAAUCUAGAAGCAGUGUAAAUACAACUGUAACGAAUUUAAAGCAGGAGCAGCAGCAGCGGCGCAGUUGCCACAAAACAGAUACAGAUUUCAUGCCACCCGCAGACGUUGGUUGAUAAAUGUCAAGAUAAGUCGCUACCGUUUCAACACCGCCAUCAACAUAACCCAGCAACAGAAACAGCAGCAACUGCAACAGCAACAGCAGCAGCAACAACAGAGACGGGUACAUCAAACAGAGAGAAGCAUCCACCAGCACAGCAUUUGUUGCCAUUGGAGGAGCAGCAAAAGAGCGGCAGCAGCAGCAGCAGCAGG
Long non-coding RNA from Drosophila obscura, 1055 nucleotides. RefSeq lists it as uncharacterized. Lineage: Eukaryota; Metazoa; Arthropoda; Insecta; Diptera; Drosophilidae. The transcript is spliced from 5 exons. The record is from RefSeq and is a predicted model, not a curated record.